This is an RNA transcript of Camponotus floridanus (Florida carpenter ant), 15112 nucleotides long. It is a transcript of the gene named regulating synaptic membrane exocytosis protein 2, with no coding region annotated. NCBI's taxonomy places the organism in Eukaryota, Metazoa, Arthropoda, Insecta, Hymenoptera, Formicidae. The record is from RefSeq and is a predicted model, not a curated record. The transcript is spliced from 25 exons.
CGGGCGCGAUAAGACCACCCCCUCGACAGAGGUCUCUGAGCGAGGGAUAUAUACGUCGCGACUCGGAAGAAUCGCUCGCGAGGAAUGCGGGUUCGCGCCUCGAUGUCGACGUGAGCAUCACCGACAGGACGUCGAUUCGCGACCGGAAAUUAGCCUCGUUCGCCCCGUUCGUCGCCGCAAGACGGGAGAGGGCCGCGAGACGUCAGCAGGUAACGAGCGUCCGCGAAGCGCGGAGGGAAAGAGGGAGAGACACGGAUAGCCAGGUACCUUGAGAGAGAAAGAGCGAGACAGGAGGGGGGGAGGGGAAGUUGGAGAGAGAGGGGGAUGGCGGGAUAACCUUCUGUCCCGAGGGGGAAAGAGACGGAGGGAGGUCGACGUGGCCGCGCUGUCAAUCUAAUCGCGAGGGGUGAGAGGGAGAGAGAGAGAGAGAUAAGCUCGCUCGCGCGAGCCGUGCCAUCGUGAAUCGUCGCAUCGGUCGUCGACGGAAAGGGGCACCGGAAGGGCCACGCGCGACGCGACGUCGGAUACUCGGAGCCGACGCGACGCGACGCAACGCGGCGUCGCGACGCGAGGCGCCGCGCAGUGCGCACUCAGCCAGGCACCCUCUGGCGCUCCCUCACCCUCGUCGAGUGCGAGACGAGCGUUGGCCGUUUCGCGCAAAGUUUUCGGACGACUCGACGCGGAGCAUCGAGGGGGAUACGAGCGAAUUGAGGCGAGAAGGAAAGAGAGAGAGAGAGAGAGAGAGAGAGAGAGAGAGAGAGAGAGAGAGAGAGAGAGAAAGAGAGAGAGAGAGAGAGAGAGGGAGGGAGAACGUCGUAAACCCGCCCGAAAUGGGUGUUUAACCCUCGCAACAACCAGGGCGUUCUCGCGUUCGUGUCGACAAUCGGGACAAAGUCGACGAGGAUGGUGAUGAGCGCGACGACACCUCGGUCGCGAUAAAAGAGACGGCGAGUCCCUUGGAGCGAGCAGCGGUGAACCCCCUCCGUCGUCAGCUGGGGAAACGGUUGUCGUGGGUGUGUAACUGUUCGGGGACGAUCGACUGCGUGGGCGUCGCGACGGCCGUUAGAGGCGCGCCGAGGAGCGCCAUUGUCGUGUCGUCUGCCACGUGAAUCGCGCGAGCGGACCUUUUCGGAGAGGAAGGCCUCCAGAUCCCAGUGGCCAGGUUGUGCGCGAACGCGCUCCAUCGUCGGUCGUCGAGCAUGCCUCUCGCGAACGCGACGGGAUCCGGUUAACGAGACGGAUUAACAGGAGCGAGAGCAGAGGCACCCCUCCGCGGCUCUGACAGUUGGGAUGGCGCAUCGUCUCGUUGCGGUGUUAUCGGGAAGAUAACGGAAAGAAUCCGACAGAGGAGGACGUCGAGGUGACACAACCGCAGCGCUACCGCCACGAGAGUCCUAUUUAUCUUUAGCGGCGGCAACCCAGUGACCCGUUUUCGUUUUCAAUCGAUGCGGUUUUACAGAAUUUCCCAGAGAAUCAGGGACGUAGCCAUUAUCCGGUGAUCGGAGCCCGAGGAAAGCGGCGUCAUCGUACCCGAUCGCUCCGAGGGUGCGAGCUCGCGUUCGUCAUCGGAUCGCACCCAACUGUCGUCUUCGCGAAGCUCCCUCGGAGAUCGACCCUCGACCUUUCUCGACCCUCCUCGUCGAAGCGACCAGAGAACCUCCGAGGAGGAUCCGCUUCUCCAGCCGAGCUCGACCAUAGCCGAAGACGACCCUCCCGGUCGCGUGUCGUACGCUCGCAAGGAACAGCGUAUCGUCCGAUGGUGCAUUCGGGCAGCGCAGCGCGUGAGGCCGGGCCGCAAGAGAGAAUGCGAGAGCCUCCUCACAGCCUGUGAACAUGAUUUGUCAUACACAUGCGACGGGCGGUAAUCGUACGACGAGAGACACCGACGACGACGACGACGACGACGACGAGGCCGACGACGAGGACGACGACGACGACGAGGAGGAGGAGGAGCACGACACCCGCGGCCAUGCCACGAGCACGUUGCGCGCUCGCAUGAGACCAGCCCGACUGCUCCUACUGCCCUACUGCAGUGUCCCGCAGCAUCAGCAUCAGCGGCAGGGAAGAAGGCCCGUGUCGCGCCAGACGUCGCGCCGGAUCAGCCGAGCGACCGAGUCUAAGGACGUCCACCUCCUAUCGUUAUCCCGUAGCACAGAGGAGGCCAUCCCGAAGUCAUCGACCACCACGACGGAGGUGGUGUCGCGUCGCGAUUGGCGCGAGCCGCGAGUGCAACGUUCGACGACGACGGUGGUGCAAUCGCGACGACGACGACGACGACGACGACGACAGCGUAACUCCGGUGCGUUCGCGUUUCCGCGUCGCGGUGCGGUGGUGCGGUCAACGGGUGUCGGAUGACUUCCCCAGGACGAAAGCCGCGCUUCGUAGUAGUCGUAGAGGGUUGUAUAUCGUCCCGGUCGUCGACGACGCUCGUCGUAGAGGAGAAGCGCGGAGGGAGCGUAGGCCCCGUCGGUAUUACGUCGGCAACGUCCCGUCGACGUCGGCGUCGUCGGUGGUGCGCCGGCCUGUCACACACCCGCGUCAUACCCACGUCGCAUACCCCGUGCACGCGCGUACCCCGCCAUCGUGAUGGCGGAGCUACCUCAGCCUGACAUGUCGCACCUCACCCCCGAGGAGAGGCGCAUCAUAGAGGGUGUUUUAAUGCGCCAAAAGGAGGAAGAGGAACAGGAUCACGAGAUUAUGAGGCGAAAGCAAGAUGAGGUGCAGGUCCUCGAAGAAACAAUACGGAUGCGUUCGGAGAAACACAAAAAGGCAGGUGUGGAGCUAAACGCCACGUGUCACAUAUGCUUGAAAACCAAGUUUGCCGAUGGCGUCGGCCACAUCUGCAACUACUGCGAAAUCCGGUGCUGCGCACGCUGCGGCGGAAAGGUCACUUUACGGUCAAGCAAGGUGAUAUGGGUGUGCAUCCUUUGCCGGAAGAAGCAGGAACUUCUUUCGAAGACCGGACAAUGGAUGUCGAAGACGAGCCUCAGCACCGUGGACAGCGCGCUGCUGCGACAAAUGCAGGAGGACUUGCAGGUGGGUGGUCGUCAGGGACUCGCGGACCAAACUCGGGAUAAAAGACCGAAACUCGAGAGGGCGCACAGCGCGGCUGAGAAAGAGAAUUUGCCGUUAUUACAGAGAAGCGGAAACUGUCCUCUCAGGAGACAGUACUCCCAGCAAGAGCAGAUCUCGGGUCGCCGUAUGUCCACGAGCGACAGUGGGGUGGAAAUGUCCGUUUCCCCUCACGCGAGAAGUUUACCGACGCCUCACGUGGUUGGUUCUUACCCGAUGCAACAAACUCCGAGACACCCUGCAGUCUAUCCCGACGACGAUCCGAAUUUAUACCGAGGCGAACUCGAUGGCCUGAUGAGACAACAUCCGCAGAAUUAUCAGAGGCAACGGUCGACCUAUCAAGAUCAGGGUGCGGAUCUCGGGAUGACUUAUGGCCAGACACCGAUGGAGACUGGUUCCAUUCGUACCACGGUACAUCCCUCUCAGCAGCAUUCGAUGCAUCAAACACAGGGCGGACGUUCCGCGCAAUCUGCGUCAACGGUGGGCGUCCAGCAACAAAGAAGUUUCAGUAGCAGCGAAGAGGAACGAAGCACACCGGAGUGCGCCAGUGACGAGCCGGACGAGUCGGAGAAAGGGAAGGGGUACUACCACCACGCGGGAGGUCCAAAAUCGAUGUCCAGUGGUGGGCGUAGGCACAACGGAUCCCACAAUGGGCACCAUGGGUCGGGCGCGGGCACGGCCGUCGAGCAUAACGGCCACCAUCCACCGCGAGAGCCGCGAAAGGAAGAGAACACUCUGGUCAGACGGAGCUUCCGAAGAUGCGGCGACGAGUGGCGCUCCGACAGUAGGAGGUUCACGGAGAGGAGGGGGAAAAAGACAGUGCGUUUUGAUGGUGGGACCAAUGUCGGCGGCCCUCAGGAGGAGGAAUGGUCUUGGGAGGCCGAUCGGCAGGGUAGCCAAGACAGCGCGACCAAAGACUCCGGGAUAGACACUUCUAGCACGUUCACGAGCAGUGAAGACAGCAACAGGGGCGAUCUGCCCAAGCACCCACUAUCCUGGCAAGUGAGUGAGGACGGUCAGAAGAUCAUCGGCCACAUGGUUUUGCGAAAAUCGGCCGGUUCCGGAAGCUGCAGUAGUAUACUCGGGCUAAAAGUUGUCGGUGGCAAGCUACUGGAAGACGGUUCCAGAGGCGCUUUGAUCGAGAAGGUGAAAAAGGGUAGUACGGCGGACGUAGAAGGUCAACUUAGACCCGGUGACGAGGUGAUCGCGUGGAACGGGAGGUCCCUGCAGGGCAAAAGCUUCCGGGAAGUUUACGACAUCAUCACCGAGUCGAGACUGGAGCCGCAAAUCGAGCUCGUAGUUGAGAGAAAAUUGUCCACGACGACGACAGGCAUGACGCCUGCCGGACCGGGCCCGUCGACGCCCAUGGCGUCCAGGCGAAUUGUCGCUCAGAGCCAAUGGCGACAGAAACACGAGACCAUCCCUGGAUCACAGCCACAUCACAAAGGUCUUAAGAAAUGUAUUCUAUGGGAGUUGUACGACGCGAGGCGUGAGAAACCCUCGGUUUUAGUGACGUCACCCGGCUCGCCGGACCUGCAUGCCCAAGGACGCGGUCGACACUCCCGACAUCCAACCGGAAAUGCGAACGUGGGCGGCAGCAUUCAAGUGAAGCUGGGUUUCGAUCCCAUGGGACUUCAACUGAUCGUCACGAUAAUUUGUGCCGCGGGACUCACGCCCAAGAGCAACGGCCAACCGAGGAACCCUUACGCCAAAAUCUUUCUGCUUCCCGACAAGAGCGAGAAAUCGAAACGGCGUACAAAGACCGUGGCGAAUACAAACGAUCCAAGGUGGAAUCAGACCUUCUUUUAUAACGGAGUCAGACGUUCGGAAUUGAGGAAAAGGGCAUUGGAGAUUACGGUCUGGGACUACGCGAGGUACGAGGCGAACGAUUUUCUCGGCGAGGUUGUCCUGGAAUUGGCAGUAUGUCUCUUAGACGAGGAACCAGAAUGGCAUUCUCUGACCGCUCACGGAGAACACCGGCACGUCAGACAUUACCAAGAUUCUGAUGACGUGCCGGAUCAUCAUCUCAGUCCACCGUCGACCACUUCGAGAUUAAGUGAUUCCGACACCUCGGAGUGCGAUAUUACGGACUGCGACGUGUCGAGGGAACAAAGAAGAACGGCUGACGGUGCCAGCAUAAGUAGUAUCGGCAGUUCCUCUAGGUUUCAUAAUAUGCCGUCAAAUUAUAAGCGCCACUAUUCUAGCCCGCCACCGGAGAGAGAGCUCUGCGUCGACGGCGAGCAUCGGAGUCGAAGGGACAUGUCGCCUCAAGGACGCAAAAGGGCGGCCCUCAUGAUUUCUCGUGACCAACCGGCUACCAUCGCGUCCGGUUAUCAGACGUAUCGUAAGGACGACAUCCAUCGGGGAAUGAUGGGUCAUAGGUCGCACAGCGCAGCGCCUAUGGACUCUCCGAGCGUCAGGUACCGAGGAAGAUCUCAGAGUCCCACCGGUCAUCGUUCCUUGUCUCCGCCUGAGCACAGAUCCAUUCCCUAUUCGCACGGAUACGUUCACACGACGAGAUUCGGCUCGAGAUCGGCAACUGCUACUCCCACUGGAUCGCCAAAGAAACGUCAGCUACCUCAAAUCCCGGCAGCCCUGAAGGAAAGGGUCACGCAAGAUCUGGAAGAACGGGCAAGGUUCAUGAGACACCGUAACAGGCAGUCGAUAUACAGAAGCACAGGCAUGGGAGGCUGGGAAAGGCAUUACAGUGGCCUUUCAGACUCGGAUCUUCCCUCAAUCGGACACGAUCCAUUAACGUUGUCGCACAGUCACGCUUAUAGGAUGCACAGACCCAGAAAGGGACAUUUGAGCCCCGAAAAAGAUGUGCUCGGUGAUCUCGGUGAUUCUGAUAUGGAGAGCAUAGCCUCGGUAACGAGCAGUGCCUUUAGUACGCAAUCGGAACGACCACGUGGAUCGAGAGCACUAAUGCCAGGAUCCGUCGGUCUGCUAUCGCGCCGGGCCAAGAGUUUCGAGUACGAGAGCAUUUCGAGCAACAUAUUCAGCGACGACAGUCUCAGGACCGCCCGGAGAAAGCUCAAGCGGAAUCUCUCUCUCAGCGACGCCGGCUACGGCGACAAGAUACCGGCGCUGGGCGAUCAGAGCAAGUCCUACUACGAUUCUAACGGCGACGACAAAGUGCCUAGAGAUCUCGCGAGCAAGGAAACGAAUUACGAUUUUCUUUCCCAAGAUCAUAAGCCGUUUUACGGAUACGACUCCGAGCUUAGCUGCGGCGAGACGGAAAUUUACGUCCCGAGCUUCGACAAGCGAGGCAUCGAUGAUUAUCAAUCCACGUAUUUAGCGGACAGCGAGCGAUCCAACCUGAGGAAUAUCUUGGACAAGGACGAUACCGGCAAGAGAAAAUACAUGGACGAGAGUUAUUUGAAUCACGAAUCUUCGUACAUCAGAGAUUUAUCCUCGGAGAAGAAGAUGAAGAAUGUAGAGAGUGACCUUUGUAACACGGUCGGCGAUCACGCCUACUGCAACAUCGAAGAGGCUCGAUCGUCUGGCAAAAAUUACGAUCGCGACAUUCUCCAGAAGAUCCAUAGUACCUCGAACGUAGACGAGGAGUGGAUGUCGCAAGAUGCCAAAAGUAUCUUGCGACCUCGCGGAGAAACUGGCCGUUCCUAUCAAAGAGAUAAAUAUAAAGAUUACGAGAACUGGGACGCCGAUUACGACGAAGGGUUCAUAGAGCGAGAGAAAGUCGACGAUUAUGAGCAAAAGCGAUUUGAUUAUCUGAACGAGAGUAUCCGAGACUUAAGGAUCGCUGGAUCGAUGUACGACGACGAGUAUUUUCAGCGAAAACGCGAUUACGCACAGUCGGACGAUGACGGCAGGAAGCUUACGUCGACGAGCGAUUACAUCAGUUAUCGUCCCCUCGACGAAUACGAGUCUUCCUCGUCUACCGUGCCGCGAAGACGAAGACGAAGAAGCAGAAGAGGCAGCAGAGAGGGUGACUACGAAAGCCCGCGUGCCAGAGACGUUCAAUCGAGAGGGUCGACGGACAACAGGAGGCUGAUGAUCCAACGAACCGAAUCCACGCCGACUCUACACUCGGACGAGGACCUAAGCUCGAUUGCGGAUCGCACCAGACGCAUGUACCGCCGCAAGCGAAACAGCAGCUGUCCAGAGAGCAGAGAUCUGCGAAUAUACGGCACGCGAAGAGACGACGAAAGGACGUCGAGUUUCGUGCUGGACUCCGACGAGGAGUUUGGUUCCAUGGAGACGGUCGUCGGCGCCGAUCAUUUCCGUCGGAUCGCUUCCUCGGGCUUCGUGACGGAGACUAGAGCGAACGGGAAAUCGGGCUUCCUCGACGCGGAACAAGAUCGUGAUAGCUACUUGUUAGACGCAAGAUACGAUUACGAAAAUCGCUAUCAGGAUAAUCGCAGUUAUGCGGAGAUGAGUCGCGAGCUAGUUAGGUCAGGGUCGCAGCGUUCCUCGGGUCGCGAGGCCCGAUAUGCGUCGUCGCGCGCUAGGCGUAAGAGUAGUUGCCCCGAGUGUCGUGAGCUGUCCUCCUCGGAGUUAGGUAGGUCGGGAUCGCUGUCGCGAAAGGUCGACGACACUCGGCGGUCAUCGAUCGAAUCGAAGCAUAGAUAUCGUAGGCGAAACAGCAGCUGUCCAGAGGCUAGGGAUCUCGAACUGUUCGACAAGAGGCAACGGCAGCAGCAGCAGCAGCAACCGCAGCACCACCAGCAACAGCUCACGCAGCGUCACCAGCAGCAGCAGCAGCAGAGGCGGCCGAGCCAGCAGCAGCAGCAGCACCCGCAUCAGCAACCGCAGGGAAGUAGUAAGAGGAACGUGGCGAUCAGCGACACCCUCGAGUACUACGAGUACUCGAUGGAGAGCGAGAGCCAGUGCAGCGAGAACUGCGGAUUUGGCCCGUGCGAUCCGCGUAGGCCCCGUAACCGAGCACCCCGCCCUGGUAACGCUAAUUCGAGUCUCUUUGAUUCCCAAACCGCUACCUCCGACACUGCUAAAAACUACCACCCACGGGUCGACGAUCAUCAUCACCACCAACACCCACAAAACACGAAAACGUCGCCGCACGUCCACGUGACGUACCUGCCGCCGCGGCCACCGGCGUCCUCCACCCGGCGACGAUCCUUCCGAAAAAAAUCUGUCUACGACGUCGACGUCGACACCGCCGCCGAUCGUCGCGACGAUGACGACUCACGGACUCGUCGUUCCUCGUCCAUGCCCGAAAGCAGCGAGUACAGCGGCCAAUCGAGCUCGUACGAGAAGACGUCCAGACACCAGGUCACCGACAACGGGCACGACGGCCACGACAAGAGAAGCCAGUUCACUAGGAGUCUCAGUAACGCCGAUGUGCCCCAAGACGAGAAAGACACGGGUAGUUUUAGUGACACGGCAAUCGCAUUGAACGUCGAAGAUGCUUCGAAGCGAGGCCGUAAAAGCUCGCCAGGAAGCAAGAGCGGAAGCGGCAGUAGCAGCGGAAGCGCGGUGCAGUAUCAAACGGGUCUGGGCAAAAAGAGCAACAGCACCAGCCAAUUAUCCGCGACAGAGUGCGGCGGGAUGAUCAUCGGCGGCGGCGCCGUGGCACGCGCCGGUUUAGCGAGCCGGAAGCGCAACAGCACGCCGAGCAGCAUACAACGAUCCGAGGAGAUCAUGCCGGCCUAUCAGCGCUUUGACAGCAAACAGGCGGGAUCGGCAGCCAGCGAUACCGCCGGGAGUCUCAACUCGAUCUCUAGUUCCGAAGGAAGCUCCUGGUCUCCGAGUCUGCGAAUGGCAGGCGAAGGGCAGUUGAGAGACUUCAUCGAAGACCUUGGACCGGGCCAAGUAGUCGGAAGGCAGGCCCUCGGUGCCCGUUGCCUCGGUGAGAUUCAACUGUCGUUGAGCCACACAAAGGGUUACCUGGAGGUAGAGGUCAUACGUGCCAAAGAUCUUAAAGCGAAACAAGGCAGCAAAGUAACACCAGCUCCUUACGUGAAGCUUUACCUGGUGAACGGUAAAAGAUGUAUAGAGAAAGCGAAAACCAUGAUGGCCAGAAAAACGUUAGAUCCGUUCUAUCAACAAUUGUUGGCUUUCAAGGAGAACUGUCGGGGCUGUAUAUUACAGGUGACGGUGUGGGGCGACUACGGUCGGAUAGAAGGGAAAAAAGUGUUCAUGGGUAUUGCACAGAUCGUAUUGGAUGAGCUGGACCUCAAUCAGAUGGUGUUCGGAUGGUACAAGCUGUUUGACACCCAAGCCCUGGUCAGUGGAGCUCCAUCCCUUGCUUUGUCCCGUCGAUCUUCGGUCACGUCUCUCGAUUCUUUUAAAAUUUAAAAGAAUGACUGUCCGAAGAACGUACCGAAAUAAUUCCCUUUACACAUAUAUUUAACGAGGAGAUGUUUGAGUUUCUUACAGUAGAGCAAAGUAGAGAAAAAAAGUAACACUAGAUUGAGUUCGAGCUCCUAUCUCGCGGUGCACCUAUAGUCGCUUCCACCAUUAAUAGGAUACCGAAAUGCACGAGUCUCGAUGUAUAUAAGGUAGUAUCAUAUUUAUCGAUAAACAACUAGAGAGAUGGAAAGUGAAAAUCAUUAUAAACAUUUUUAACAUCUUAAAUGACAUAUUCGGAAAAUCAUCGUUUGAUGAUGUUAUGAUGUAGUCAAAUGUAAAGUAUAUAUUUCAAGUCAAAUAACUAUUUAAGAUUAUCGUUAUAUUUACUGUAUAAAAAAAUCGAGGAUAGCGUCAUAGAUAAUUCUUUAUCGUAUCAUAAUAUUAUCAUUCUAUGGUUGAUAACAAAAGUUUGAAAAGAAUCUUAAACACGCUACGCGUAUCUUCCUCGUUAGCUAAAUUAAAUGUUGAAGCCUAAGACUACUUAACGACUGACGUUUGGCUCUGAAUACGGUAAAGUCAGUUUAAAUGCAGUAUACGAGAAAUAAAUUGUAUUGUACGGAUAAUAGAAGGUUCCGCGGGGGAGGAAGACAGAAAGAGAAACAAAGGGAAGAAUGAAAUCGAAAGAUAAACGCAAAAACGAUGCGAGAAAAGAGUGUGAAAAAACGUACGGGAGAGGACAUGUCUUUCUAGAAACACCACUAGUACAUCACAUAUCAUGUACGGCAUAUCAGACGAGCCACUAGUCUGUAUGUAGGACUAGAUGUAGACGUAGCCAGCCAUGUGUUCCCGGAGCGCCAGAUAGUUUUUAGUGAAAACCAACCAAAUCAAGCAAGUUCGGGAUAGAUGUGAACUCAAAUGUGGUGUACUAGAUUAAUAAUAUACGAACGAUUACAAUGACGCUCGUUUUCAGUGAAUCUAAAUGUGUGUAUGCGUGCGUGUAUAUGUGUGCGUGGGUGUGUGUGUGUGUGGUUAAGUGGUUAAAGAGAUUAAUGAGUACUGUGAAAAAUGAAGCGACGGUCCAUGGACUUCAUUUAAUCAACAUGCGAGAAAGAUUAAAAAUGUUGCGAGAGAGAAUAAGUAUAUAUAAAUAUAAAUAUAUUACAUAUAUGCUUAUGGAAGACGUUUCCAAACUUUGUAUAUAAUUUUAGGACAGUUCAAGUACUAUAAAUACCGAUCUCCGAAAUGGUCGGCUAAAAGACAUUUUAUCGUUGUCAAAUUUUUAGUCAAAAAUGUCACCGUCAGAAAUAAUAUAUAUGUAUAUAUAUUAUUUAAUGUAAAUAAUAUAAUAACUAUAUAAAAUUGUACGAUAUAUGUGCGCGCAAGUUUGAAUGAGUAAUAAUGUUUGCGUUGACAUUUUUCGUUGUCGUUUAUCGGUUUCCACAAUAUACGAUCGUCACUAUGAUUUUUUUCGCGUUCUCUCUAUAAACUCUGAUCUGAUUUAAUCUUUUCCAAAUUAAUAUAAUUCGGAUUAAGUGGAACGUACGAUGAUAUAAUUUUAAUUGCGCAGUUUAAUUUUUUAAUUAUACAGUUUGUUCUUUUUUCAUAAUAAAAUUUGUUCGUCAUCGUACACGCUAUCACGUUACUCAGCUUUUUAAGCUUCGUUUAGUAACUCGUCCAAAAUGAGAUACCAUUAUAAUGUAGAAAAUGUGGAGCAAGUGUUAUAUAGUAUCACAUUUUUCAAAUAUGAAGCAGACUGAUAAAUCGAUUCCUAUGAUAUCUACGUUUGGCUGCUUUUGUGAAAUUAGCAAUUUCGAGGGAGCCGGGAUGUAAAGAUAUAUUCGAACAAAUUAUAAAUUAGCUUCGUUUUUAAAGAAUUUUAUUUAUAAAUUUUAUUUAAGUAAAAAGCAAGGUUUUCGAGACAAAUUGAAAAAAAAAAAAUACGAACCGCCCAUAUAACUCGUGUAAACGGGACGCGCGUCGCGGCAAAAAUUCUUUUUCGUACUGAUUUUGUACAAAAAUAAUAAGCAGUGACCACCACACUAAAUAUUUAAGAGGCUUUGUAAAUCUCUGUAAGAAAUGCGUAAACGCUUGCCAUUAAUUUUAUAUAUCUUGAUUAUCGUGCUAUGUGUUCGAUCUUUCUUCGUGCGUAUCUCAAACACUCGCGAAGAUACACAUCAGCGAGUAUGCACAUGCACGUGAAGUGUCUGCUGUGAAUUAGUAAAUAAUUACAUUCGUGCCCUGUAAAAGAGAAUCAGAGAAAGAGAGAGAGAGAGAGAGAGAGAGAGAGAGAGAGAGAGAGAGAGAGAGAGAGAAGUUGAAAGAUUGAGUGAGAAAGAAAAUUAUUUUCCGUCAAGUAUUUAAGGUUUGGUGUGUGUAAACUUCGUGUACAAGACAAACGUUUCAACUUAAUUAUGAGAAGAAAUUUUUGAAAGGACGAGAAAGAAUAUCUGUGCGAAGGAAAACGAGUUUUUAAUAUUUUUUUAAACAGCAUAUAUUGCUAUUUAUGUCGAUACUUACGUAUACUUUCGCCAAAUUGAUAUAUUAGAUGAAUGCUAAAUCGAAAAGUUCGCUGCGCGAAUUUUCUUUGUGUGUCUCAUUAAUUUUUUUUAGCGAAGUAGGCUUUUUUUUCACGUGACAUGUUUUGAAAUUACGAAUCAUUGUAAUUGUAUGCGUGGAAGGUACUCCUUGGAUAUUACCGACAAAACUUUGAUAAAUGGAAUGCAGUAGCUUCAAGCGGCUAUAUUACGUAUAUUUUUGUAAAUCUCCGAUUUACCGAUAACAAUUCGCUAGAGAUAUAGGUUCGAACGCAGAGAAUUUCUAUCCGGAAUGAUUCGCGUCACGUUUCUUGAGUGAUUAAAGCCGUAAGAUUAAGUGACAGCAAUGUCAACAUCUAUCUUAUCACGAGUCUUACAAUAAUUGACCAAGUAUAAUAUCUUGCUUUACAACUUGAAACGAUUGUCUCAUUCACACUCGCAUUUUCGCUCUUCGAUACUAUACGACUAUUUCUACGCGAUCCAUAACGCGAAUUUUUUGAAUUAAUACCGGAUAAUGUAAGCGCGUUUGAUACGCGUGCUGAGAUUAUAUCGAAUUGCCAUCGAAAUACAUGCAUCCGUCGUUAAGCGAGCUAUAACGUAAGACUUAGCUUAGAGUUUGAGAAGAACGAGAUAACGAAGUAUCAUUGAUUUACAGACGAAUCAUAUAGAUACGUCAUCGAUAAUCCGAAUGUUCAUGAAUAUAAAUUCUAGGUAACGUAACUUUUCUCGUAAAUCGGCAGACCGAUCGAGACUUUUAGGGAACGAGGGAAUUGUAUAGAGAAGGGUGGUAUCUUAUCAUAUCUAUAACAUGCUUAAAUUAGAGACGUACGGCAAGAGAAAGAAGCUUUUUUACUCGUGAGAAAACAAAGACAAAAAGUAGGGUUCUAAUCCGAAGAGAUGUAUAUGUAAAGUAUUGUGAAAAAAAAAAAUAAUAUAUUACUAUAAGCUCAUUUCUAAGUACAUAUUUUGCAAAUGCACGGAUUUAUCAAGAUUGUGGGACAAUGAUGACGUAAUACACAAAUAUAAUUCUGUAAUAGUUAAUUGAUAAAAUAUACAAGACUACUAUUACUACUACUAACGUAACUCUUCAGUUUGUAACGCGCCGUUUAUACAGAGACGGCUGUAAGAUUCUUCGCAAAAUUAAUUCGACGCUCUCGUCUCUUCGCAAGCUGUUUCUUGUGCGCGAUCUUGCGUUUCUUAUAAAUAUAUAUAAUUAUUCUACUAAUAAAACGAUCGAUAAAUUUCACAGAAAAAAAACGAAUUUUACUUUUAGAAUUAAGAAAAAUCAUAGAAUUUAUACAAUAUAAAAAAUUUACAAAGAUUGCACUUAUCCAAGUAAUUGAACGAACUCGAGAAAUUCAUCACGUGUUUGAUACGCAUUUAAUACGCAAAUUGAUACGUAUCGCAAUACAAUAUAAUGAUAAAAUAAUAUAUUCUCCGAAUCAGUAAAAAUUUGACGGAAAUUUACGAGAAAAAUUUACGAGAAAAAUUUAAGAGAAUAAUUGGCCUUUGCGUCGCGACUAUUCUCAGUAAUAAUACUAAAUAAAUUUGUAUAUAUGAUUGCCUAUCUCGAUUAGAAUGUUGAUUUGUCAGAAGAAACAGCUCGAAGAAGUAUACGUCGAUUUCUAUUCUUGCCAUGCCCAUCUGUAUAUAGGCAUGCUCAAUUCUAGGAUCGGAAACGCGUAUCGUGAAAAAAAAAUCACACAUAAUAUUAAACUACGAAACGCGCGAAUACAAAUUAUUAUCCGACUUUGUACCUAUAUAUAUUAUUAAUUAACUUAAUGAAAAAGUACGGGGUGAAACCCCGAGUACUAAUAUCGAUAUGAAUAGUAGAAGCUAACGAAGAUUGGAACAUGAAAAAAAAGAAAAAAUCGUGAGAGAAAAGAUCUAGCAAAAAAAAAAAAUAUAAUAAAGAUGAAAGAACAUUACUUACGAAUGAAAAUGCCUGAGAGCCAAGGGGUACCACUUUUGUCAAAUUUAGAAAGCCAAUUUAGGUUUACAAUAAAAUACAAUAGGGUGUAUACGUGUGUGUCGGGCGUGCGAAAAGGAUUGGAAAGAAAAGGUGAGAGUGAAAGGAUAUGCGAUCCAGCGAAAGAAAAGGAAGGGAUUAAACGUCGUAACCGAAACGUCGUAAAGACAUCGGCAAGAACGAGCUAUAAAAUGAAUUAUCCACUAUUCUCAUAGAAAGAAGUUCAUCAGGUAGCUUAGGUGAUCUCUAAUCUUGUAUCUCGUGAGCUCACGAACGACUCGUAUUCCCGAUAUUUUGGACGAAUCUUGAAAACUAAUGUUGCGAUCAGAUUACGUGUCAAUUUUUUGACGGAUUUUAAUUUUAAUUUAAUUUUCUCGAUCAUUGCGAGAAACGCGUAUUAAUAUUAACGGACGUUCUAAUUAAAUUUUCUUCCGAUGCUCUUUUCAAAUACACGAUUUUCGGUGGAAUUGUCUUUUUUCAGCAUCAUCCGAUAUCUUUUAAAACGAAUUACGAGUCGGUCGUAAGAUAAUGCGCGCGCGCCCGCGAAGCAAUUUUAUUAUUUUAAUAUUAAAUAGACAAAAGAAAAAGAUUUUACUAUAUUAUAUUUCACGAAAUCAUUGAAGACGCAACUGCGCGCGCGUGCGGCGGGACUCGUACAUUUCUAUCAUUUUAUUAUGAUAAGUGUUUAAAUUUAUUUCUCUAAAAAGUACGACAAAAAGGAUGAGAGAGAGAGAGAGAGAGAGAGAGAGAGAGAGAGAGAACUGCAAAAUGAAAAGCAUAAAAAGUGAAAAAGAAAGAGAACAGAUGUGUAAGAAACGAAAUAGUGGGCGUUAGAAAAGAUGUUUACUUUUCGUUGAACAAAAGAAAGAAAGAAAGCAUAAAUCACGAAAGAACGAAAGAAUUUAAGCAGUACGUUUAGACAACAUUUCGGAGAAUCUCAGCCGAGAACUCCGUGAACCUUUGUUCCGCUCUCGCUUUCGAAAACAUCGAAGAAAUCCGAAUUGAUUCAAAGUAAUCAUUGCAUGAUAUGAAUGUUAUAUUUUAAUUUUUUUCAAUUAUAUAAUAUGCAUUUUCUCUCUCUUCACACCGCGUACGACCAAUCGCGGAUCGCUUUAAAGGCUGUCGCCUCAUUCACGGAGCUCGCGGUAGGAGAUCGCGAGAUGAAUAAAUAUAAAACGUUAGUGACUGUAUCCAGUAUCAUAUAUCUGAUAAAAGAUACCCCCGAUGCCAGAGAUGGCGUGUGACAAUAAAGUGAUUCAAUGAU